Molecule: long non-coding RNA, 713 nt
Organism: Larimichthys crocea (large yellow croaker)
Lineage: Eukaryota; Metazoa; Chordata; Actinopteri; Sciaenidae
Exons: 4
Source: RefSeq, a predicted model, not a curated record
CUAGAGGAGCGUUUUCAUAAUAAGCUUGUUUGGGCCCCUUUGAGACCUGCUGACAGUCAAAUUCAAUUAAAACAUGAUGCCAACAUCCCGGCAAACACUCCCUACUACUCUCAGAGAAACGCUGGCUUUCAAAGUCAAUUGUGUCCAAUGUGAAGAGCCUGCCUUCGUGUCCCCGUCUGGAGCCUUUUCACGUGCUAAAAUAAGAGUUUCCCCCUCGUUCCCCAAGUCGACAUGAGCAAAUCCAAGACUCCUAACCCAUCUUCAGUCAGCACUUAUCACACAUCAAAAGUGGCCCCCAGGUGGAGCAGUGUUUCCUCUCUGGACCUGUAUAUCUCUGUGAUCACUGACUUCCACUAGGGCCUGAGGAAUAUUUCACUUCCUGAUCCUUACACAUGAUCCAAAUCCAUCACCCAACGCUGAAAGUGAAGAGAGGGAGAAGGAGAGGGACAAGCACAUAUUCUCAGAGUGCAUUGUGGAUAGGAAUGCCAUUGAAUUUGGGUGUUUUUUCAUGAGCCAGCCUCUUUUGUGUGCAGGCUAAGGAAGUCCAUUGUGCGGGCAGACACCCUGAGAAAAGAGGGGAGCUUGGAGCUGUUGUCUGCUGGUGCUUCUGCAGCGCUCGAGCCCUAAAAAGACCUGAAUAAAACUCUGCCAUCGGAAGCAGCCGGCCCGAACCAAGAGACAAUGCCACUGGGCAACUUUGAAGACCAGCAACA